GAAACAUUUGGUAUCCUCUUUAAUAUUACCGGCUAGCUCACUGAAGUGUUCCAUCUUUUCCUUCUUAAUUAUUUUAGUUGCAUUCUGUUGGUUUUUAAAAUCUUCUCAAUCCUUCAACAUACUAGUGAUUUUUGCUCUAUGCCCUCUCUUUGGUUUUUCUUAACAGCCACGGUUUUGUCACCUUAGCUUUAAAAUUCUACUUCCUCUUUGUGAUGCAUAGAAAUUUGAGGGGCGAAGAACAUCUCAGGCAGAACUGCAGUCAGCUCGACUUCUUCAGUCUGCAGGAAAUUCAAGGGGAACCUCUUCACCCACAGAGUGGUGACUGUUUGGAACUCAUUCACAUGGACAGUGAGAGGUGAACAACAGGGGAGGAUUUGAAAGAUCUGCUGUGGAACAGAAUCACUGGCAAGGUCCAGCCGGCCUGAGGUCUAGUCCCAUUAAAGGUGACUAUGCAGCAGAAGAAACUCCUCACAUGCCUGGUGAGCAGCAGCAAUAAUUGCAGAGUUCAGCACCGACACUCACUCUCGAAUUUGCAUUCAGCAACGCUGAUGAAUAAAUAUUCAGCAUGCAGCUCAUUGAAACGUUCUCCCAGUGUGAACCGGUAGUGUGUGAGGAGGACAAGACCAGAACAUAUGUGUCAAGGAAGCUACCUCGGAAUUACAUCCAUCAGAAACAGGAUUUAAUGGCAGUAAAAAUGAGCAAACUUAUCCUUGGACAUAUGAGCCCGAUGAACCACCUUAAAUUGCAUGAAGGCAUGUCUGACACACACUGAAGAGGUAUUUUCUAGUUCAAGAAUUUUCUCCCAUUUCUGUACAGGUAAAGGUAUCCCAAGUUCUCUUUUCCACUCAUUCUUAAUUUUAUCAGAAGUAUCCAAGUGUAUUUCAUAAUUAAAUCAUAAAUAAAUGAUAAUAAACUCUUCUGAUGUGGAUUUGAACUUUUUUCCCCCGUAACUUCAAUUUGAUGUGAUAUCGGAACAGAAGGUAAAAUAACAUUCAAAAAGUUUCUAAUCUGUAAAUAUCAGAAAAAGUGUGAUCUAGGCGAAUUAUAUAUAUUAGAAAGUUGUUCAAAAGAAAUAAAACAAUCAUCCAUAAAUAAGUCACGAAAACAUAAUUUUCCCUUUGUUUGCAAUAAAAGAAAAGCUUGAUCAAUUUAAAUGGUUGAAAGAAAAAAAAAUAGAUAUAAUAGAACUUGACAGUAUAUAUUUAUUUGGUCCAAAAACGUACCAAAAUUGAAACCAUAUUCCUAUUGUAUGCUUAAUUAUUGUAAUUACCAUUUGCUUAUUAAAUUUAGUAAGUGGAAAGGGAACCACAGCCCCUAACAUAGAAGCCAAUGAAAACUCCUGUCGAGACUCACGCUCAAGGUUCAUCCAACUCUUGUGUCCAAAACAUUAAAUAUCGAAUAUUAAUUGCCCGAUAAUAAAAACUAUGAUCCGGCAAAACCAAGCCGCCUUCCUUUUUUGAUUUCUGUAACUAUUUCUAAUUUAACCUGGGAUUUCUAUUCUGCCAUCCAUAUGCAGAAAUUUUAGAAUCAAUAAUAUUAAAAAAAUGUUAGAGAUAAAAAUUGAUACUGCCUGAAAUAGGUACUGAAAUUUAGGUAAAAUAAUCAUCUUAAUAGCAUUAAUGGAACCAAUCAAGGAUAAGGACAAUGGGGACCAUUUAGUAAACAAUUGUUUAGCCUGAUCAAUUAAGGGUAAACAUUAACUUUAAAUAAAUCGUUGUGCUUCUUAGUAAUUUUAACACCCAAAUAAAUAAAAUAAUCAGCAAGCAAUCUAAAUGGUAACUGUCUGUAAAUUGAGACUUGCCUAUUUAAUGGAGAAAGCACUUUUAUUAAGAUUCAGUUUAUAAGCAGAAAAACUACUAAACUGUGCAAGAUGUGUUAUUACUGCAGGAAUGGAUUACUCUGGAUUAGAAAUAUCUAGCGACAGGUUAUCUGCAUAUUGUGAUACUUUACGCGUCCCAUUCCCAUGAGUAACACCAAAUAUAUUGGGUGAAUCACGAAUAGCAAUUGCCAAGGGCUCCAGGCCAAUAUCUGAUAGUAAGGGACAGCCUUGUCUAGUACCUUGGAAAAGCCUAAAGAAAGGGGAUCUCUGAUUAUUAGUGAAACAGACGCCAAAGGUAUAUGUUAUAUCAAUUGUAUCCAAGAUAUAAAUUUUGGGCUAAAAGUAAAUUUCUCUAGUAUUUUAAACAAAUAUUCCCAUUCAAAUGUAUCAAACGCCGUCUCGGCAUCGACCGAGAUAACACAUUCUGGUGUCUUAGAUAAAGUCAUGUAUACAAUGUUCAUUAACCUCCAAACAUUAAAAUGUGUAUAAUGAUUUUUAAUAAAUCCUGUCUGAUGCUCGGAGACAAUUUGUGGCAAUAUCUUCACCAAUCUAAUUGCUAAUAUUUGAGAAAGGAUUUUAGAUACAACAUUCACAAAGAUAUAGUUCUGUCUGUUGCACAUUCAGUGAGAUCAUUUAUCAUUUUUGGGAAUUAAAUAAAUUGAUGCUUCAUAAAAUGUUUGUGGUAACUUAUGUACAAAUAAAGCAUCUUUAAAAAUUUUACCUAACCAGGGAGAAAGUAAACCGGAAAAAGAUUUUAAAAAUUCAGCUGUAUACUCAUCCGGACCAGGUGCUUUACCAGAAUUCAUUGAAUAAAUUGCUUUCUUUAUUUCCUCUUCAGUAAUGGGUGUGUCUAAUACUAAAUGUUCAUCAACUGAUAAUUUCAGAAUAUUUAAUUUCCUGAAAAAUUCAUGCAUUAUGAUAGAAUCCUCAGGAAAUUCUGAUUAGUAUAAAUUGGUAUAAAAUUCUUGAAAAAAUUUGUUAAUUUCGUCAUGGUCAACCGUCAAAGUACCAUCCUGUUUAAGAACCCUAUUAAUCUGAAGUUUCGCUAAAGCAGCUUUUAAUUGGUUAGCCAAUAAUUUACCCAAUUUAUCAACAAAUAUAUAAAGUAACUGAUUUUCAAUCAGGGAUGUUAAUAACAAAUGAUGUUGCAUCUGAAGUUCAACUCUCUCUUUAUAAAGCAUCAAAUGGGGAGCAAUAGAAUAAUUUCUAUCAAUUUCUUUAAUCUUAUCAACCAAUGUACGUAUUUCAUUAUUAAUUUGAAAUUAUUUUUUUUUUCAAUCCAGCAGAGUGUGAAAUAAUUUACCCUCGGAUAUAUGUUUUAAAGGCAUCGUGUGAUAUCCCACUUAAAAUUUCUUCCGUUGAGUUAGUUGAAAAGAAAAAAGCAAUCUGUUCUUUAAUGAAAUUAAUAAAAUUUAAGCCCUGAAGUAAAAUAGAG
Long non-coding RNA from Hypanus sabinus (Atlantic stingray), 3254 nucleotides. RefSeq lists it as uncharacterized. Lineage: Eukaryota; Metazoa; Chordata; Chondrichthyes; Myliobatiformes; Dasyatidae. The record is from RefSeq and is a predicted model, not a curated record. The transcript has 3 exons.